Molecule: ribosomal RNA, 429 nt
Filed under: uncultured archaeon
Lineage: Archaea
Description: bacterial SSU rRNA
Rfam family: Archaeal small subunit ribosomal RNA
Source: RNAcentral
UACCAGCUCCCUGAGUGGUAAGGACGAUUAUUUGGCCUAAAGCGUCCGUGGCCGGCUUAUCAAGUCUCUUGUUAAACCCAAUGAUUCAGUCAUUGACCUGCAAGAGACACUGUUAUGCUAGAGGACGGGAGAGGUCGACGGUAGUCCAGGGGUAGGGGUGAAAUCCUAUAAUCCUUGGAGGACCACCAGUGGCGAAGGCGGUCGACUAGAACGUGCCUGACGGUGAGGGACGAAAGCUGGGGGAGCGAACCGGAUUAGAUACCCGGGUAGUCCCAGCUGUAAACGAUGCGGGCUAGGUGUUGGGGUAGCUACGAGCUACUCCAGUGCCGCAGAGAAGUUGUUAAGCCCGCCGCCUGGGGAGUACGGCCGCAAGGCUAGAAACUUAAAGGAAUUGGCGGGGAGCACCACAAGGCGUGAAGCUUGCGGUUC